Molecule: ribosomal RNA, 2871 nt
Filed under: Klebsiella aerogenes
Lineage: Bacteria; Pseudomonadati; Pseudomonadota; Gammaproteobacteria; Enterobacterales; Enterobacteriaceae
Description: bacterial LSU rRNA
Rfam family: Bacterial large subunit ribosomal RNA
Source: RNAcentral
GGGUUGUGAGGUUAAGCGACUAAGCGUACACGGUGGAUGCCCUGGCAGUCAGAGGCGAUGAAGGACGUGCUAAUCUGCGAAAAGCGUCGGUAAGGUGAUAUGAACCGUUACAGCCGGCGAUGUCCGAAUGGGGAAACCCAGUGUGAUUCGUCACACUAUCGUUAACUGAAUACAUAGGUUAACGAGGCGAACCGGGGGAACUGAAACAUCUAAGUACCCCGAGGAAAAGAAAUCAACCGAGAUUCCCCCAGUAGCGGCGAGCGAACGGGGAGCAGCCCAGAGUCUGAAUCAGCUUGUGUGUUAGUGGAACGGUCUGGAAAGUCCGACGGUACAGGGUGAUAGUCCCGUACACCAAAAUGCACAGGCUGUGAACUCGAAGAGUAGGGCGGGACACGUGGUAUCCUGUCUGAAUAUGGGGGGACCAUCCUCCAAGGCUAAAUACUCCUGACUGACCGAUAGUGAACCAGUACCGUGAGGGAAAGGCGAAAAGAACCCCGGCGAGGGGAGUGAAAAAGAACCUGAAACCGUGUACGUACAAGCAGUGGGAGCACCUUCGGGUGUGACUGCGUACCUUUUGUAUAAUGGGUCAGCGACUUAUAUUCUGUAGCAAGGUUAACCGUAUAGGGGAGCCGCAGGGAAACCGAGUCUUAACUGGGCGUUAAGUUGCAGGGUAUAGACCCGAAACCCGGUGAUCUAGCCAUGGGCAGGUUGAAGGUUGGGUAACACUAACUGGAGGACCGAACCGACUAAUGUUGAAAAAUUAGCGGAUGACUUGUGGCUGGGGGUGAAAGGCCAAUCAAACCGGGAGAUAGCUGGUUCUCCCCGAAAGCUAUUUAGGUAGCGCCUCGUGAAUUCAUCUUCGGGGGUAGAGCACUGUUUCGGCUAGGGGGUCAUCCCGACUUACCAACCCGAUGCAAACUACGAAUACCGAAGAAUGUUAUCACGGGAGACACACGGCGGGUGCUAACGUCCGUCGUGAAGAGGGAAACAACCCAGACCGCCAGCUAAGGUCCCAAAGUCACAGUUAAGUGGGAAACGAUGUGGGAAGGCACAGACAGCCAGGAUGUUGGCUUAGAAGCAGCCAUCAUUUAAAGAAAGCGUAAUAGCUCACUGGUCGAGUCGGCCUGCGCGGAAGAUGUAACGGGGCUAAACUGUGCACCGAAGCUGCGGCAGCGACACUAUGUGUUGUUGGGUAGGGGAGCGUUCUGUAAGCCUGCGAAGGUGGCCUGUGAGGGUUGCUGGAGGUAUCAGAAGUGCGAAUGCUGACAUAAGUAACGAUAAUGCGGGUGAAAAGCCCGCACGCCGGAAGACCAAGGGUUCCUGUCCAACGUUAAUCGGGGCAGGGUGAGUCGACCCCUAAGGCGAGGCCGAAAGGCGUAGUCGAUGGGAAACAGGUUAAUAUUCCUGUACUUGGUGUUACUGCGAAGGGGGGACGGAGAAGGCUAUGUUAGCCGGGCGACGGUUGUCCCGGUUUAAGCAUGUAGGCGGAGGUUCCAGGUAAAUCCGGUACCUUUUAACGCUGAGGUGUGAUGACGAGGCACUACGGUGCUGAAGUAACAAAUGCCCUGCUUCCAGGAAAAGCCUCUAAGCAUCAGGUAACAUUGAAUCGUACCCCAAACCGACACAGGUGGUCAGGUAGAGAAUACCAAGGCGCUUGAGAGAACUCGGGUGAAGGAACUAGGCAAAAUGGUGCCGUAACUUCGGGAGAAGGCACGCUGAUAUGUAGGUGAAGCCCCUGCGGGUGGAGCUGAAAUCAGUCGAAGAUACCAGCUGGCUGCAACUGUUUAUUAAAAACACAGCACUGUGCAAACACGAAAGUGGACGUAUACGGUGUGACGCCUGCCCGGUGCCGGAAGGUUAAUUGAUGGGGUUAUCCGUAAGGAGAAGCUCUUGAUCGAAGCCCCGGUAAACGGCGGCCGUAACUAUAACGGUCCUAAGGUAGCGAAAUUCCUUGUCGGGUAAGUUCCGACCUGCACGAAUGGCGUAAUGAUGGCCAGGCUGUCUCCACCCGAGACUCAGUGAAAUUGAACUCGCUGUGAAGAUGCAGUGUACCCGCGGCAAGACGGAAAGACCCCGUGAACCUUUACUAUAGCUUGACACUGAACAUUGAGCCUUGAUGUGUAGGAUAGGUGGGAGGCUUUGAAGCGUGGACGCCAGUCUGCGUGGAGCCAACCUUGAAAUACCACCCUUUAAUGUUUGAUGUUCUAACGUUGGCCCCUGACCGGGGUUGCGGACAGUGUCUGGUGGGUAGUUUGACUGGGGCGGUCUCCUCCCAAAGAGUAACGGAGGAGCACGAAGGUUAGCUAAUCCUGGUCGGACAUCAGGAGGUUAGUGCAAUGGCAUAAGCUAGCUUGACUGCGAGCGUGACGGCGCGAGCAGGUGCGAAAGCAGGUCAUAGUGAUCCGGUGGUUCUGAAUGGAAGGGCCAUCGCUCAACGGAUAAAAGGUACUCCGGGGAUAACAGGCUGAUACCGCCCAAGAGUUCAUAUCGACGGCGGUGUUUGGCACCUCGAUGUCGGCUCAUCACAUCCUGGGGCUGAAGUAGGUCCCAAGGGUAUGGCUGUUCGCCAUUUAAAGUGGUACGCGAGCUGGGUUUAGAACGUCGUGAGACAGUUCGGUCCCUAUCUGCCGUGGGCGCUGGAGAAUUGAGGGGGGCUGCUCCUAGUACGAGAGGACCGGAGUGGACGCAUCACUGGUGUUCGGGUUGUCAUGCCAAUGGCAUUGCCCGGUAGCUAAAUGCGGAAGAGAUAAGUGCUGAAAGCAUCUAAGCACGAAACUUGCCCCGAGAUGAGUUCUCCCUGAGACUUUAAGUCUCCUGAAGGAACGUUAAAGACGAUGACGUUGAUAGGUCGGGUGUGUAAGCGUAGCGAUA